UGCUGCUGGCUUUCUUGUUCCAUCAACGUCUCCUCCAGCUGAAAUGGUACACACAGUUGCAUGAUCACAACCUCAAGGCUUCCUGGGUUGCUGAGAAGAAGGUGUUCCUUGCUUGUUCACCAUUAUCCAUAGCAGGGGGUUUUGUUGCUCUGUUCAUGAACGUCAAGCAGAACCAACUUCACAUUGUAAAGCAUUUUCUUUGGGGCCGUUUAAGAUCCUAUGCCGGUCUAGUUCUCGAUUGCUUUGUAUUCCCUCAAGUCCUCCUCAACAUUUUUCUCAACUCAAAGAAAGUACUCUUUCUUGGACAUUUUACCUUGGAAUCGCUUUUAUGCGUGUGCUUCCACACGCAUAUGACCUUUACAGGGAAAAAACCUAUGAUCCUUGGUCAUCCAAGUUUUCGAUCGAUCCUCAUGCAGGUUUCUUCUCCGUCUCUCAGGACGUCAUUGUCUGUUCUGUAUAUCUGCUAUUUGCUGCAAUCAUCUGCUUGCAGCAGCGGUUUGGCAGACGAUGUAUCCUUCCAAGUAGAUUUAGGGGACAUGAAGAUUAUGAGAAAGUUCUAGGGUCUAGUGACAAGUAA
This 577-nucleotide long non-coding RNA is filed under the name Prunus dulcis (almond). Its description in RNAcentral is "sRNA ncRNA". The record is from RNAcentral. Lineage: Eukaryota; Viridiplantae; Streptophyta; Magnoliopsida; Rosales; Rosaceae.